GACGAACGCUGGCGGCGUGCUUAACACAUGCAAGUCGUACGGUAAGGCCCUUUCGGGGGUACACGAGUGGCGAACGGGUGAGUAACACGUGAGUAACCUGCCCACAACUUUGGGAUAACGCUAGGAAACUGGUGCUAAUACUGGAUAUGUGCUCCUGCUGCAUGGUGGGGGUUGGAAAGCUCCGGCGGUUGUGGAUGGACUCGCGGCCUAUCAGCUUGUUGGUGGGGUAGUGGCCUACCAAGGCGGCGACGGGUAGCCGGCCUGAGAGGGUGACCGGCCACAUUGGGACUGAGAUACGGCCCAGACUCCUACGGGAGGCAGCAGUGGGGAAUAUUGGACAAUGGGCGCAAGCCUGAUGCAGCAACGCCGCGUGCGGGAUGACGGCCUUCGGGUUGUAAACCGCUUUCAGCAGGGACGAAGCUUUUUGUGACGGUACCUGCAGAAGAAGCACCGGCUAACUACGUG
This 465-nucleotide ribosomal RNA is filed under the name uncultured bacterium. RNAcentral describes it as "partial 16S ribosomal RNA". It matches the Rfam family "Bacterial small subunit ribosomal RNA", at positions 28 to 507 of the family's 1533-position model. The record is from RNAcentral.